GAUGAACGCUGGCGGCGUGCCUAAUACAUGCAAGUCGAGCGAACGGACGAGAAGCUUGCUUCUCUGAUGUUAGCGGCGGACGGGUGAGUAACACGUGGAUAACCUACCUAUAAGACUCGGAUAACUUCGGGAAACCGGAGCUAAUACCGGAUAAUAUUUUGAACCGCAUGGUUCAAAAGUGAAAGACGGUCUUGCUGUCACUUAUAGAUGGAUCCGCGCUGCAUUAGCUAGUUGGUAAGGUAACGGCUUACCAAGGCAACGAUGCAUAGCCGACCUGAGAGGGUGAUCGGCCACACUGGAACUGAGACACGGUCCAGACUCCUACGGGAGGCAGCAGUAGGGAAUCUUCCGCAAUGGGCGAAAGCCUGACGGAGCAACGCCGCGUGAGUGAUGAAGGUCUUCGGAUCGUAAAACUCUGUUAUUAGGGAAGAACAUAUGUGUAAGUAGCUGUGCACAUCUUGACGGUACCUAAUCAGAAAGCCACGGCUAACUACGUG
This 497-nucleotide ribosomal RNA is filed under the name uncultured bacterium. RNAcentral's name for it is "partial 16S ribosomal RNA". It matches the Rfam family "Bacterial small subunit ribosomal RNA", at positions 28 to 507 of the family's 1533-position model. The record is from RNAcentral.